AUCAGCACUUCGUUCCAAAACGUUACAUUCUUGCUGAAAAUUCAACAAGGUCAAAUCAGAUAUCAGCACUGGCACCUAAUUCCAAUUCAGGAAAUGCCCCAGCUCCAGCACCGAGUCAUAAUGUCACUCCAAUCCAUAAACAUAGUAACAGGAAGAAAAGGAAAGUCAGAGCGUGGUUACUUGGUUUCUUUGCUGGUUCUUUCGCAGGAGCUAUAUCUGCAGUACUCUUAUCAGUUCUUUUUAAGCUGGUCAUGUUUUUUGUCCGAAAGGGAAAGACUGAUGGAACUUUAACAAUAUACAGUCCACUGAUUAAGAAAGCCGAGGAUUUGGCCUUCUUAGAGACAGAAGAUGGAGUAGCAUCACUUGAAAUGAUUGGAAAAGGUGGAUGCGGAGAAGUUUAUAGAGCUGAGUUACCGGGAAGUAAUGGGAAGAUUAUAGCUAUAAAGAAGAUUAUACAACCCCCAAUGGAUGCUGCAGAACUCACCGAGGAAGAUACCAAGGCUUUGAACAAAAAAAUGCGACAAGUAAAAUCAGAAAUUCAAAUUCUUGGUCAAAUCAGACACAGGAAUCUGCUUCCCCUACUGGCACAUAUGCCUAGGCCAGACUGCCAUUACUUGGUAUAUGAAUAUAUGAAAAAUGGGAGCUUACAAGAUAUCCUCCAGCAAGUCACAGAAGGGACAAGGGAAUUAGAUUGGUUGGGACGACACCGAAUUGCAGUAGGGAUAGCUUCUGGACUUGAGUAUCUCCAUAUAAACCACAGUCAAUGCAUAAUUCACAGAGAUCUAAAGCCAGCAAAUGUCCUUCUUGACGAUGAUAUGGAAGCUCGAAUAGCUGAUUUUGGACUUGCAAAGGCACUUCCAGAUAAUCCCAUAUAAACCACAGUCAAUGCAUAAUUCACAGAGAUCUAAAGCCAGCAAAUGUCCUUCUUGACGAUGAUAUGGAAGCUCGAAUUGCUGAUUUUGGACUUGCAAAAGCACUCCCAGAUGCCCAUACACAUGUUACGACUUCAAAUGUUGCAGGAACUGUGGGAUAUAUUGCACCAGAAUACCAUCAGACACUGAAGUUUACGGGUAAGUGUGAUAU
RNAcentral lists this long non-coding RNA (1083 nucleotides) under Nicotiana benthamiana. RNAcentral describes it as "long non-coding RNA (NBEN_LNC033966)". Lineage: Eukaryota; Viridiplantae; Streptophyta; Magnoliopsida; Solanales; Solanaceae. The record is from RNAcentral.